UACGUAGGGUGCAAGCGUUGUCCGGAAUUAUUGGGCGUAAAGAGCUCGUAGGCGGUCUGUCGCGUCGGCUGUGAAAACCCGGAGCUCAACUCCGGGCCUGCAGUCGAUACGGGCAAACUGGAGUGUUGCAGGGGAGACUGGAAUUCCUGGUGUAGCGGUGAAAUGCGCAGAUAUCAGGAAGAACACCAAUGGCGAAAGCAGCUUUCUGGGACGGUACUGACGCUGAGACGCGAAAGCGUGGGGAGCGAACAGG
This 253-nucleotide ribosomal RNA is filed under the name uncultured bacterium. RNAcentral's name for it is "partial 16S ribosomal RNA". It matches the Rfam family "Bacterial small subunit ribosomal RNA", at positions 524 to 776 of the family's 1533-position model. The record is from RNAcentral.